This 430-nucleotide ribosomal RNA is filed under the name Pseudomonadota bacterium. RNAcentral describes it as "Proteobacteria bacterium partial 16S ribosomal RNA". It matches the Rfam family "Bacterial small subunit ribosomal RNA", at positions 355 to 776 of the family's 1533-position model. The record is from RNAcentral. Lineage: Bacteria; Pseudomonadati; Pseudomonadota.
UGGGGAAUAUUGGACAAUGGGGGGAACCCUGAUCCAGCCAUGCCGCGUGUGUGAAGAAGGCCUUAUGGUUGUAAAGCACUUUAAGCGAGGAGGAGGGUACUGGUAUUAAUACUACCAGCUACUGGACGUUACUCGCAGAAUAAGCACCGGCUAACUCUGUGCCAGCAGCCGCGGUAAUACAGAGGGUGCGAGCGUUAAUCGGAAUUACUGGGCGUAAAGCGCGCGUAGGUGGUUCGUUAAGUUGAAUGUGAAAGCCCCGGGCUCAACCUAGGAACUGCAUCCAAAACUGGCGAGCUAGAGUAGGGCAGAGGGUGGUGGAAUUUCCUGUGUAGCGGUGAAAUGCGUAGAUAUAGGAAGGAACACCAGUGGCGAAGGCGACCACCUGGGCUCAUACUGACACUGAGGUGCGAAAGCGUGGGGAGCAAACAGG